This 328-nucleotide ribosomal RNA is filed under the name uncultured Clostridiaceae bacterium. RNAcentral describes it as "partial 16S ribosomal RNA". The record is from RNAcentral. Lineage: Bacteria; Bacillati; Bacillota; Clostridia; Eubacteriales; Clostridiaceae.
GGAGUUUGGACCGUGUCUCAGUUCCAAUGUGGCCGUUUACCCUCUCAGGUCGGCUACUGAUCGUCGCCUUGGUGAGCCGUUACCUCACCAACCAGCUAAUCAGACGCAGGCCCAUCCCAUACCGAUAAAUCUUUGACAGUUCUAACAUGCGAUAAAACUGUGUUAUGAGGUAUUAAUUACCGUUUCCAGUAGCUAUCCCUUUGUAUGGGGCAGGUUGCCUACGCGUUACUCACCCGUCCGCCGCUUUCCACUCGAUCACUCAUCCGAAGAAUCGUUCACGAGCUUCUCGCUCGACUUGCAUGUGUUAAGCACGCCGCCAGCGUUCAUC